GCGGGGAAGACCCGCGGGAUGUUCCGCUCGGCGGAGAACCACAAA
Thermococcus celer is the source of this 45-nucleotide non-coding RNA. Lineage: Archaea; Methanobacteriati; Methanobacteriota; Thermococci; Thermococcales; Thermococcaceae. The record is from Rfam.